RNAcentral lists this ribosomal RNA (468 nucleotides) under uncultured bacterium. RNAcentral describes it as "partial 16S ribosomal RNA". It matches the Rfam family "Bacterial small subunit ribosomal RNA", at positions 28 to 507 of the family's 1533-position model. The record is from RNAcentral.
GACGAACGCUGGCGGCGUGCUUAACACAUGCAAGUCGAACGGAAAGGCCCUGCUUUUGUGGGGUGCUCGAGUGGCGAACGGGUGAGUAACACGUGAGUAACCUGCCCUUGACUUUGGGAUAACUUCAGGAAACUGGGGCUAAUACCGGAUAGGAGCUCCUGCUGCAUGGUGGGGGUUGGAAAGUUUCGGCGGUUGGGGAUGGACUCGCGGCUUAUCAGCUUGUUGGUGGGGUAGUGGCUUACCAAGGCUUUGACGGGUAGCCGGCCUGAGAGGGUGACCGGCCACAUUGGGACUGAGAUACGGCCCAGACUCCUACGGGAGGCAGCAGUGGGGAAUAUUGCACAAUGGGCGGAAGCCUGAUGCAGCAACGCCGCGUGCGGGAUGACGGCCCUCGGGUUGUAAACCGCUUUCGCCUGUGACGAAGCGUGAGUGACGGUAAUGGGUAAAGAAGCACCGGCUAGCUACGUG